RNAcentral lists this ribosomal RNA (1383 nucleotides) under uncultured bacterium. RNAcentral describes it as "bacterial SSU rRNA". It matches the Rfam family "Bacterial small subunit ribosomal RNA". The record is from RNAcentral.
GAGUUUGAUCAUGGCUCAGGACGAACGCUGGCGGCGUGCUUAACACAUGCAAGUCGAACGAUGAAGCGGUGCUUGCACCGUGGAUUAGUGGCGAACGGGUGAGUAAUACGUGAGUGACCUACCUUUGACUCUGGGAUAAGCCUGGGAAACUGGGUCUAAUACCGGAUACGACCAAUCUCUGCAUGGGGUGUUGGUGGAAAGCGUUAUGGAGUGGUUUUAGAUGGGCUCACGGCCUAUCAGCUUGUUGGUGAGGUAAUGGCUUACCAAGGCGACGACGGGUAGCCGGCCUGAGAGGGUGACCGGCCACACUGGGACUGAGACACGGCCCAGACUCCUACGGGAGGCAGCAGUGGGGAAUAUUGCACAAUGGGCGCAAGCCUGAUGCAGCGACGCCGCGUGAGGGAUGACGGCCUUCGGGUUGUAAACCUCUGUUAGCAUCGAAGAAGCGAAAGUGACGGUAGGUGCAGAGAAAGCGCCGGCUAACUACGUGCCAGCAGCCGCGGUAAUACGUAGGGCGCGAGCGUUGUCCGGAAUUAUUGGGCGUAAAGAGCUUGUAGGGCGGUUGGUCGCGUCUGCUGUGAAAGGCCGGGGCUUAACUCCGGUUUUGCAGUGGGUACGGGCUAACUAGAGUGCAGUAGGGGAGACUGGAAUUCCUGGUGUAGCGGUGGAAUGCACAGAUAUCAGGAGGAACACCGAUGGCGAAGGCAGGUCUCUGGGCUGUAACUGACGCUGAGAAGCGAAAGCAUGGGGAGCGAACAGGAUUAGAUACCCUGGUAGUCCAUGCCGUAAACGUUGGGCACUAGGUGUGGGGGACAUUCCACGUUUUCCGCGCCGUAGCUAACGCAUUAAGUGCCCCGCCUGGGGAGUACGGCCGCAAGGCUAAAACUCAAAGGAAUUGACGGGGGCCCGCACAAGCGGCGGAGCAUGCGGAUUAAUUCGAUGCAACGCGAAGAACCUUACCAAGGCUUGACAUGCAUUAGAUCGCGUCAGAGAUGGCGUUUCCCUUCGGGGCUGGUGUACAGGUGGUGCAUGGUUGUCGUCAGCUCGUGUCGUGAGAUGUUGGGUUAAGUCCCGCAACGAGCGCAACCCUCGUUCUAUGUUGCCAGCGGUUCGGCCGGGGACUCAUAGGAGACUGCCGGGGUCAACUCGGAGGAAGGUGGGGAUGACGUCAAAUCAUCAUGCCCCUUAUGUCUUGGGCUUCACGCAUGCUACAAUGGCCGGUACAGAGGGUUGCGAUACUGUGAGGUGGAGCUAAUCCCUUAAAGCCGGUCUCAGUUCGGAUUGGGGUCUGCAACUCGACCCCAUGAAGUCGGAGUCGCUAGUAAUCGCAGAUCAGCAACGCUGCGGUGAAUACGUUCCCGGGCCUUGUACACACCGCCCGUC